Biomphalaria glabrata is the source of this 3887-nucleotide RNA transcript. It is a transcript of the gene named alpha-L-iduronidase-like, with no coding region annotated. Lineage: Eukaryota; Metazoa; Mollusca; Gastropoda; Planorbidae. The record is from RefSeq and is a predicted model, not a curated record. The transcript is spliced from 21 exons.
UUUUUUUUUACUUUCGUGAUGGCGACUGUGGUUCUUCAGGUCUCUAGCUUGUAGUGGCUUCACAAUUCUGAAAAGUCCGAUCUUGCUGGUAAUGCGUAUUCUGCUAGAUCCCCAGUUGUUAUUCAGCUGAUGGAAGGCUACCCUAGCUUUAUUGAUCUGCACGUUCCUCCAAGGUUGUCCAUUCUACUGUCAAGCUUAAUGAAGUUUCCCCACCUCUCACGUUUCCAAAAUGUGCAGGUCUGAGUAUAACAGAGACAGACAUCAUCAAGUAAAGAUGGAACUUCAGUGGUUUCGAAUGAGCGCAUUGGAGAAGUACAAAAUGCCUUCUAAAAUGUAGAUCUAUACCCAUAUUCGAAGAAGCAUUGUUAACAUUAAUUCAAGAGUACACAACCAGUGUUAUUAUUUUACGAAAUCUAUGUUAUGUAUUGUUGGAGUAAUCUCCUCUGAUUGUUUUUGUUUUGAUUUCGUCCAGAGUUUAAGAGGUCGGCCAAUUAACCGUGACCGUGUUCUACGUUUUAAUCUAGAAGGGUCAUAAAAUUUAGUCAUACUGGAUGUGAUUCUUCUAUCAGAGGAAAUACUGCACUUUCUAAACAUGAACAAAGUUCCUCUUGCAGUGUGGACGUACACUGGUAACUUCGAUAGGACAAACAGUUCAUUGAGAUUCUUAAUCAUCGAAAAGGAGGAAAUUUUGGGAUAUGCAAAUUGGAAUUUUUAAAAACUCAGGAAGCACUGGGGCCCCUUAAUGUCCAUACGAAGUCUAUGAAAUGAAUGAUUUGCUGAAAUCAUUUCUCAGCUGAUCAACAUUUGUUCAUCAUCAGUUCCAGCUAACAUCUUUUGUUAUCAACCAGUUUAAGCCAAUAAAUGUUGUUACCAAACAAUAGACACACUUGUCGUUCAGCUGAAUCAGCACGUGGUUGUUUCAGAUCAUCAGUUUAAGAAAAAUGCAUGAAUACAGUAGUAUUAUAUAUUUUAAGCAUGUGAUAACAAAGGUCAGUUGAAAGUUUUGGCCCAGGUACCAGAUGCAGAACUCAAGUGUUUGAUAGCUCAUAUGGAAUCUUUUAUCGUGUGUUAAAAUAAGGUUUCUGAUAACAACUGAAAUGGCACCUACAGUUUUUUUUCUGAUGCUUCAACUUUGUUUGGUAAUGACCCAGUCUGAGUUGAACAUCUUUAUCAACUCUUCUGAUGUAAGAGGUCAGCUGACACAGUUUUGGAGGAAUACUGGCUUCUGUCCUCCUGCACCUCAUUCAGAGGCAGCCAACUAUGACUUAAGUUUUGACAUGCAACAGAACUUAGCCUAUAUAGGGGCUGUUCCAUUUAGUGGAAUCACUCAUGUCAGAGUCCACUGGCUUUUCGAACUUGUUCAUGUUGAAAGUAUUGCAGUCAAUGGCCCAGUUUAUAAUUUCACUGAACUAGAUAAAUUUGUGUCACUUAUCCAUGAGAAUGAGCUGUACUUGAUUUUUGAACUGAUGGGGAAUCCAUCUGGUGUCUACACUGAUAUGGAAAAUAAAACCCAAGUCUAUUGGUGGAGAGAUCUAGUAGCACAGACUGCUCAAAGAUAUAUCACUCAGUAUGGUGUUGACUAUGUCAGAGAGUGGAAGUUUGAGACUUGGAAUGAGCCUGACUGUCAUGACUUUGAUCAACUGACUAUGACAGUCCAAGGUUUCCUGAACUACUAUGAUGCUUGCUCUGAAGGAUUGAAACUUGCAGACUCAUCACUAGUAUUUGGAGGACCAGGAGAUGGCUGUGGCUUGUUAAGAGACUCCAGAGAUGCUCUGUAUGCAGAAGCUUUAUUUAACCACACAGUUCGAGGAAUAAAUUACUUUACUGGAGAAACUAAAGUUAGAAUAGAUUUCAUUUCAUUACAUGAAAAAGGACAAGGUGGCACAGCAUUGUCUAUCUUAACUGAAGAGAUUGUUGCUGUUGAUGCUAUAAAUUUGAAGUAUCCAGAACUGAAUGGCAAACCUUUUUAUAAUGAUGAAGCAGAUCCUUUGGUUGGUUGGAACAAAUCUUUUACAUGGAGGGCAGACGUGACUUAUGCAGCCCUAGUGGUGAAGAUCAUCAGCCAACAUCAAAAUAUGUUGAAGGCUCGUGACAACCCACUGAUAGCAAACUAUGCAUUGCUUAGUAACGACAACGGGUUUCUCAGUUACUUUCCCAAUCAGUUCACACAGCGUACUCUACUGGCAAGGUUUCAGAUGAACCUCACUCAGCCUCACUAUGUGACAUUUGUCAGGAAACCUGUUUACAUGGUGAUGGGCAUGUUGGCACUGCUCGGGGAAAGACAGCUCCAUGUGGAUAUUUCAAUGACUCCUUCCACAACUGUUAGUAAUACCAGUGACUAUGGAUGCAUUUCUACUGUCCAUGAGCCAAAUAUCACAGUGAAUUCAUCUGACAGUUGGCAACAAACUGUUUUGAUCUAUGGAGCUCCAGAUAUCAAUGCAACUGUCACUUACGCUGAUUUAAAUUUACAGUGGUACUUGAUCCCACCACCAGGAGUUACAAGUUUAAAACUCAAGUUUUACUACCUCUACAAUGGUGGAUCUAAUCCAUAUGAUGCUUGGGUUGGCCUGUUCAACAGCACUGCUUAUCCAACAUUAAAACAAUUUGCUUAUCUCAGAGAUCUGGAGGAUCCCUAUGACUCUAUCAUGGAUGUUAAAGUAACUGCUGGCUAUAUUCUACUUCCACCCAGAUUUCAAGUCUUGGAGCCACAUAUUAUAUUGAUGCAUCUUUGUUCUAAACCUCUUCUUCCACCAGAAAAGGUCAUCAAGUUGAAGUGUAUGAACAUCACACAAGGACAAGUUCUUAUUGUAUGGAGUGACUCAAACAUUCACACAAAGUGUCUAGCUAGGUAUGAUGUUGAACUUUCACUGAAUGGACCCUCAGGUCCUUUUACAAAAAUCAAUCCCAGACAUUCAGUCGUCACUGCAUUUAUUUAUGAAACAGACUCUGAAAGUAAAGUUGAAGGUUAUUACAGAGUGAGAGCAGUAGAUUAUUGGAACAGAGGGGGAGACUACUCUGACCCUGUACAGUACAAAGUACAGAAAAGAUGAGAUUACUUCCUGAUAUGUUUUUAGAUGGAAUAUGAAUUGAUGUUUGUUACAAAGACACAAUUAUUUGUUUAUAUAUUUAUCAUUUGUACAUAACUAAAACAUUUCCAAUCCAGUAUUUCUAAUUUAUAUUGUUAUUUUAAAAUGGGCUCAACUGUCAAAAGUUCCUCUGACUGGAAGAGAUACAAAAGGCAGAUGGAGUAUUAAGCUCACCCAUUCCAUUGGACCAGUAGGUUCAUAAAUUUGUCACUAUGGUGCUGUGAGACGGACUGGCUUCUUACACCAAAGAAUGGGAAUCAAAUUGGAGCAUGUCUUUCCACCCAGAAAGUGGCAACUAUUAAGAGUAACAAAGAAAAAACAAACUCAGACUAAAAACUCAAAAAUACCUAGGUGUUGAAAGAAAUGAAAAACUAUCAUGGAAUCAACUGUGACUCGUCAAAAUAGCGCGAAAUUUCCCGACAAAAAAGCGCAAGACAAAAUAGCGCGGACUUGUAUAUGAUGUGUACAUGAUUUUUAGUAAUUUAAUUUCCUGGGCAUCAUUUUUGUUGAUGUCUUUAUCUUUUCAAUAUUAAUAGAUCUGAAAGUAGGCCAUAUUUGCAGAGAACGAGAGUACUUUAAAUUUUAUAUCAUUCCCCUUUUUCACCUUUUAUUAAAAUGCAUACCUAUAUUGUCAAUGUACGGAAGCAAGUCUGUGAUGGAAUGUCUACGUGACAUUUCCUACAAUUUAACUUUGUGAAAGUUUGUGUGUAUGUGCGUAAAUUUGACAAGUAUCUUUGCAUGUUUUCGAAGUACACUUUUAUAAUGUAAAUAAAUGCUAUAUUUUGAAAUUAUUCAUUUUUA